CAGUCGCCACGGUAAUACGAAGGGUGCAAGCGUUAAUCGGAAUUACUGGGCGUAAAGCGUGCGUAGGCGGUUUGUUAAGUCUGCUGUGAAAUCCCCGGGCUCAACCUGGGAAUGGCAGUGGAUACUGGCAAGCUAGAGUGUGUCAGAGGAUGGUGGAAUUCCCGGUGUAGCGGUGAAAUGCGUAGAGAUCUGGAGGAACAUCAGUGGCGAAGGCGGCCAUCUGGGACAACACUGACGCUGAGGCACGAAAGCGUGGGGAGCAAACAGGAUUAGAUACCCCGGUAGUCCCUGUCUCUUAUAC
This 301-nucleotide ribosomal RNA is filed under the name uncultured bacterium. RNAcentral describes it as "partial 16S ribosomal RNA". It matches the Rfam family "Bacterial small subunit ribosomal RNA", at positions 509 to 807 of the family's 1533-position model. The record is from RNAcentral.